This 1326-nucleotide ribosomal RNA is filed under the name Triticum aestivum (bread wheat). Its description in RNAcentral is "partial small subunit ribosomal RNA". The record is from RNAcentral. Lineage: Eukaryota; Viridiplantae; Streptophyta; Magnoliopsida; Poales; Poaceae.
AUGGGGAACGCGCUGGGGUGCGCCGGGCUGGGCGAGCGGCUGGCCGCGGCGGCGAGGGACGGCGACCCGGCGGAGGUGCGGCGGCUGCUGGCGGCGGACCCGGGGCUCGCGCGGUGCACAGCCACCUUCGGCAACCUCAGCUCGCCGCUCCACCUCGCCGCCACCAAGGGCCACCACGAGAUCGCGGCGCUGCUGCUGGAGAAGGGAGCCGACGCGAACGCGAGGAACGUGUACGGACAGACGCCGUUGAUGCAAGCGUGCCGCUCAGGGCACUGGGAGGUGGUUCAGACGCUUCUCGCCUUCAGAUGCAAUGUGUGGAAGGCGGACGGGCUGACCGGGCGCACGGCGCUGCACGCGGCGGCGGCGGGCGGGCACGUGCGGUGCGCGCGGCUGCUGCUGGCGGACGCGGCCGGCGCGGGCGAGGGCGCCGGGGCCCGGUACGCGAACCGGGCGGCGGGCGGCGGCGUCACGGCGCUGCACCUGGCGGCGCUGCACGGGCACGUGGACUGCGUGCACCUGCUGGUCGACGAGGGGGCGUCCCUGGACGCGCAGACGCUGCCCUGCGCCGCGGCGCCCAUGGCGGCCAUCGGCGCCGGGAGCACGCCGCUGCACUACGCGGCGUCCGGCGGCGAGGUCCGGUGCUGCCAGGUGCUCGUCUCCCGCGGCGCCGACCGGAUGGCCGCCAACUGCAACGGGUGGCUCGCCGUGGACGUGGCCCGGAUGUGGAAGUGCAACUGGCUGGAGCACGUGCUGGCGCCCAAGUCGCAGCUCCCCGUCCCCAAGUUCCCGCCCUCCGCCUACCUCUCCCUCCCGCUCCCCUCCCUCCUCGCCGUCGCCAGGGACUACGCCGCCGCCGGCUUCCCCGCCUCGCCGGACUCCGGUGCCGGCAACGACGACGACGCCUGCUCCGUCUGCCUCGAGAGACCCUGCAACGUCGCCGCCGAAGUGUGCGGGCACGAGCUGUGCCUCAAGUGCGCGAUGGACCUGUGCACGGUGAUGAAGGCGUACGAGGUGCCGGGGCUGGCCGGCACCGUGCCGUGCCCGCUCUGCCGGAGCGGCAUCGCCUCCUUCAGGAAGGCCGUCGCCGCGGCCACCGCGCCGCCCGAGGACGACCACCAGAGCAUGGGCGGCAGCGGCAGCCUGCCCUGCGCGUGCGCGCGCUGCCAGGACCGCCACGGCAGCCCGGAGGAUGAGGAGGACGAGAAAAGCACAUGCCGGUCUUCCGGGCACCGGAGCUACGGCGGAAGCGGCUUGGACGGCCCGGAGGCCGCCAUAGCUCCCCUCUACUGCGCCCCGUUCACCGGCCCCUCCGCCAUCUUGUCCUGA